RNAcentral lists this ribosomal RNA (860 nucleotides) under delta proteobacterium SCGC AAA240-I11. RNAcentral's name for it is "SSU rRNA". It matches the Rfam family "Bacterial small subunit ribosomal RNA", at positions 32 to 910 of the family's 1533-position model. The record is from RNAcentral. Lineage: Bacteria; Deltaproteobacteria.
GACGCUGGCGGCAUGCCUAACACAUGCAAGUCGAACGAGAAAGUUCCUUCGGGAGCAAUUAAAGUGGCGCACGGGUGAGUAACGCGUAGACAAUCUACCCUUCAGUCUGGGACAACUUUUCGAAAGGAGAGCUAAUACCGGAUAACAAUGUUUAACAUAAGUUAAGUAUUUGAAAGCUUUAUGUGCUGAAGGAGGGGUCUGCGUCCCAUUAGCUAGUUGGUAGGGUAAAGGCUUACCAAGGCAACGAUGGGUAGCGGGUUUGAGAGGACGAUCCGCCACACUGGAACUGAGACACGGUCCAGACUCCUACGGGAGGCAGCAGUGGGGAAUAUUGCACAAUGGAGGAAACUCUGAUGCAGCAAUGUCGCGUGAGUGAAGAAGGCCCUUGGGUCGUAAAGCUCUUUUAUGGGGGAAGAUGAUGACGGUACCCCAGGAAUAAGCACCGGCUAACUAUGUGCCAGCAGCCGCGGUAAUACAUAGGGUGCGAGCGUUGUUCGGAAUUACUGGGCGUAAAGGGCGCGCAGGCGGAAUAGUAAGUCGGAGGUGAAAGCCCGGGGCUCAACCCCGGAGGGUCUUUCGAAACUGCUAAUCUAGAGAGGGUCAGGGGCCGGCAGAAUUCCUGGUGUAGAGGUGAAAUUCGUAGAUAUCAGGAGGAAUACCGGUGGCGAAGGCGGCCGGCUGGGGCCACUCUGACGCUGAGGCGCGAAAGCGUGGGGAGCAAACAGGAUUAGAUACCCUGGUAGUCCACGCCGUAAACGAUGAGCACUGGACGUCCGGAGGGUUCGACCCUUCUGGGUGUUUCAGCUAACGCAUUAAGUGCUCCGCCUGGGGAGUACGGUCGCAGACUAAACCAAUGAUAC